GAUGAACGCUGGCGGCGUGCCUAAUACAUGCAAGUCGAGCGAACAGACGAGGAGCUUGCUCCUCUGACGUUAGCGGCGGACGGGUGAGUAACACGUGGAUAACCUACCUAUAAGACUGGGAUAACUUCGGGAAACCGGAGCUAAUACCGGAUAAUAUAUUGAACCGCAUGGUUCAAUAGUGAAAGACGGUUUUGCUGUCACUUAUAGAUGGAUCCGCGCCGCAUUAGCUAGUUGGUAAGGUAACGGCUUACCAAGGCAACGAUGCGUAGCCGACCUGAGAGGGUGAUCGGACACACUGGAACUGAGACACGGUCCAGAAUCCUACGGGAGGCAGCAGUAGGGAAUCUUCCGCAAUGGGCGAAAGCCUGACGGAGCAACGCCGCGUGAGUGAUGAAGGUAUUCGGAUCGUAAAACUCUGUUAUUAGGGAAGAACAAAUGUGUAAGUAACUAUGCACGUCUUGACGGUACCUAAUCAGAAAGCCACGGCUAACUACGUG
RNAcentral lists this ribosomal RNA (497 nucleotides) under uncultured bacterium. Its description in RNAcentral is "partial 16S ribosomal RNA". It matches the Rfam family "Bacterial small subunit ribosomal RNA", at positions 28 to 507 of the family's 1533-position model. The record is from RNAcentral.